GAAUUCUCCCUUGGAUCCAGACUUUGAUUCUGGCUCAGGAUGAACGCUAGCUACAGGCUUAACACAUGCAAGUCGAGGGGAAACGAUAGAGAAAGCUUGCUUUCUCUAGGCGUCGACCGGCGCACGGGUGAGUAACGCGUAUCCAACCUGCCCAUCACUUGGGGAUAACCUUGCGAAAGUAAGACUAAUACCCAAUGACGUCCAUAGAAGACAUCUGAAAUGGAUUAAAGAUUUAUCGGUGAUGGAUGGGGAUGCGUCUGAUUAGCUUGUUGGCGGGGUAACGGCCCACCAAGGCGACGAUCAGUAGGGGUUCUGAGAGGAAGGUCCCCCACAUUGGAACUGAGACACGGUCCAAACUCCUACGGGAGGCAGCAGUGAGGAAUAUUGGUCAAUGGGCGAGAGCCUGAACCAGCCAAGUAGCGUGCAGGAUGACGGCCCUAUGGGUUGUAAACUGCUUUUAUAAGGGAAUAAAGUGAGUCUCGUGAGACUUUUUGCAUGUACCAUAUGAAUAAGGACCGGCUAAUUCCGUGCCAGCAGCCGCGGUAAUACGGAAGGUCCGGGCGUUAUCCGGAUUUAUUGGGUUUAAAGGGAGCGUAGGCCGGAGAUUAAGCGUGUUGUGAAAUCUAGAUGCUCAACGUCUGCACUGCAGCGCGAACUGGUUUCCUUGAGUACGCACAAAGUGGGCGGAAUUCGUGGUGUAGCGGUGAAAUGCUUAGAUAUCACGAAGAACUCCGAUUGCGAAGGCAGCUCACUGGAGCGCAACUGACGCUGAAGCUCGAAAGUGCGGGUAUCGAACAGGAUUAGAUACCCUGGUAGUCCGCACGGUAAACGAUGGAUGCCCGCUGUUGGUCUGAAUAGGUCAGCGGCCAAGCGAAAGCAUUAAGCAUCCCACCUGGGGAGUACGCCGGCAACGGUGCAACUCAAAGGAAUUGACGG
RNAcentral lists this ribosomal RNA (936 nucleotides) under uncultured Bacteroidota bacterium. Its description in RNAcentral is "bacterial SSU rRNA". It matches the Rfam family "Bacterial small subunit ribosomal RNA", at positions 1 to 916 of the family's 1533-position model. Lineage: Bacteria; Pseudomonadati; Bacteroidota. The record is from RNAcentral.